AGCAGCGUGGCCUAGUGGAAAGGGCAUGGGCCUGGGAGUCAGAGGACUUGGGUUCUAAUCCCAGCUCUGCCC
Molecule: non-coding RNA, 72 nt
Organism: Ornithorhynchus anatinus (platypus)
Lineage: Eukaryota; Metazoa; Chordata; Mammalia; Monotremata; Ornithorhynchidae
Source: Rfam